RNAcentral lists this ribosomal RNA (540 nucleotides) under fungal endophyte sp. P1014B. RNAcentral describes it as "eukaryotic LSU rRNA". The stretch from base 169 to 322 matches the Rfam family "5.8S ribosomal RNA". Lineage: Eukaryota; Fungi. The record is from RNAcentral.
CUGCGGAGGGAUCAUUACCGAGUUAUACAACUCAUCAACCCUGUGAACAUACCUAUAACGUUGCCUCGGCGGGAACAGACGGCCCCGUAACACGGGCCGCCCCCGCCAGAGGACCCCCUAACUCUGUUUCUAUAAUGUUUCUUCUGAGUAAACAAGCAAAUAAAUUAAAACUUUCAACAACGGAUCUCUUGGCUCUGGCAUCGAUGAAGAACGCAGCGAAAUGCGAUAAGUAAUGUGAAUUGCAGAAUUCAGUGAAUCAUCGAAUCUUUGAACGCACAUUGCGCCCGCCAGUAUUCUGGCGGGCAUGCCUGUUCGAGCGUCAUUACAACCCUCAGGCCCCCGGGCCUGGCGUUGGGGAUCGGCGGAAGCCCCCUGCGGGCACAACGCCGUCCCCCAAAUACAGUGGCGGUCCCGCCGCAGCUUCCAUUGCGUAGUAGCUAACACCUCGCAACUGGAGAGCGGCGCGGCCACGCCGUAAAACACCCAACUUCUGAAUGUUGACCUCGAAUCAGGUAGGAAUACCCGCUGAACUUAAGCAUA